AUAAAAUGCCUCUGGUGGGCUCCUUUGUACAGGCCUCUGUCCUCUGACUGUUGCAUGGUUUGUUGGAAGGUUUUGUUGAACCUUUUUGUUCCAAGGCGUUUGAUGUGAACUGUGUAUUCAUUUUGGUAGAUUAGUUGCUCCAAUGAAACGAUGGUGGGAACUGUUCACCUGCUGCGCCCCCUCCUGGAAGGGAAAGGCAACUCCCCAGCAGAGCGGUUUAAAUUCUUCUCCAAAAGAGUCUUCUUCAAUUAGAGUAAACGUAAUGCCUAUUUUAAUCCUUAAUAGCAGCAGCCCGUUUACACAUGUACAGGACAUAUUCAUACAAGUCUUAGUACUGGUUGUUACUUUUAGUUACAUUUAAAGAAGCCUUACCAUCAGCUUCAGGAGUUCCCUGUUUUGAUGACGCUGGUGUAUUUAAGCCAUGAGGUGUUUUAAGAUAACUCUUAACACUUGCAAGCAAAUAAUAGAAAUGAACAUUGCAAAUCAAGGUAGAAUAACUAUGAAUUUAUUAAAAGAUGUUUCCAUAUUGGGUAAUCGAAUAAAGUAAACAAUUUCCAUAUGUCUGUGUGGCCUGUUGGCUGUUGAUGAUGAUCAGACAUGUCAUACAAGGACACAUUUACGUAAGGACUAUUUGUAUAUCCCUAUGAACAGGGAGAAGAGAGUACCCUGUAUACAGGUGUGUCUACCCCUCAGAGGUGAUGGGAGGCGACCUGGCGGUCCAGUCCUCUGAGGAUCAGGAGGCCUGGGGUCCAGACCACCCCUCCCCCUGGACCACUCAGCUGGCCCUCAGACCCAGUGUCAGUGAGGAGGAGGCUUCAGGAGACCUGAUCAUGAAAUGACCAGUUGCCGGUUCAACGUGUUGGUCUCCAUAGAGAGCUCCAGACUGGUCCUCCUCGAGCCUUGGGGAUCCUUUACCCCAGCUCCUGUUCCUCAUUGUUUGUUAACUACCCAGCCUACUUAUACCCUGGGUUGUAAGUGCCACCUCGUUCGAUUGUUCUAUAUCCUUAUUACUAGCUUGGCUAGUCAGCUCUUUCUGACUGUUACUGCCUGUCUGCCUGCUUGCCUGCCGGCUUGCCUGCUUGCUUGUCUGCGUAUUUCUGGAUUUUCCUCCAGUCCUGACCUUUACCAUCCUGGACUCCUCUCCCGGCGGUGACCUGGCUCUUCUUUCUUUGUUUUAUUUUUGUCCCUGUUUUUGUCAUCAUUGUGUUUUUUGUACUUCCUCCUGGGAAGCAGGAGUUGAUUAUUGUUAAUGUUUGCU
RNAcentral lists this long non-coding RNA (1258 nucleotides) under Gadus morhua (Atlantic cod). RNAcentral's name for it is "lncRNA (ENSGMOG00000023516.1)". Lineage: Eukaryota; Metazoa; Chordata; Actinopteri; Gadiformes; Gadidae. The record is from RNAcentral.